UGGGGAAUAUUGCACAAUGGGCGAAAGCCUGAUGCAGCGACGCCGCGUGAGGGAUGACGGCCUUCGGGUUGUAAACCUCUUUCAGCAGGGACGAAGCGCAAGUGACGGUACCUGCAGAAGAAGCACCGGCUAACUACGUGCCAGCAGCCGCGGUAAUACGUAGGGGGCAAGCUGUGUCCGGAAUUACUGGGCGUAAAGAGUGCGUAGGCGGUUUGUCGCGUCGUUUGUGAAAACCAGCAGCUCAACUGCUGGCUUGAAGGCGAUACGGGCAGACUUGAGUACUGCAGGGGAGACAGGAAUUCCUGGUGUAGCGGUGAAAUGCGAAGAUAUCAGGAGGAAAACCGGUGGCGAAGGCGGGUCUCUGGGCAGUAACUGACGCGGAGGAACGAAAGCGUGGGUAGCGAACAGG
This 409-nucleotide ribosomal RNA is filed under the name Bacillota bacterium. Its description in RNAcentral is "Firmicutes bacterium partial 16S ribosomal RNA". It matches the Rfam family "Bacterial small subunit ribosomal RNA", at positions 355 to 776 of the family's 1533-position model. The record is from RNAcentral. Lineage: Bacteria; Bacillati; Bacillota.